Long non-coding RNA from Betta splendens (Siamese fighting fish), 4163 nucleotides. RefSeq lists it as uncharacterized. The record is from RefSeq and is a predicted model, not a curated record. Lineage: Eukaryota; Metazoa; Chordata; Actinopteri; Anabantiformes; Osphronemidae. The transcript has 2 exons.
CACACACACACACACACAAACUGACCUCAACUUCCCUCUUUUGGGAUGAACAGGUCUGCGCUUGCGAUUUCUUUUACUAACGAACAAAAAAGAUUUUUGAUGUUUAUUCUACAGUUCCACACUUCCCUCUGUGAAAACAUGAUGGAGACAGAUGCAGGACGUGGGUCCUUUCGUGAACAGAUGUCAACGGGGUGGAGACUGGUGAACGACUUCUGACCCCAUGUGACGUAUUCACCUACUUUGCAUACUUUAAAAAAAAAAAAAAACCUUUUUUUAUUCUGCCUGUCAUGCACAACAAGCAGUGAACCUCCACAUUCUAAUGACACACUACAUGUUUUUAUUUUCAUUUUUCAGAGGACGCUCUGACCCAACACUCAGCCUUACAGGAAGCCCUGCUUCCCUGUGGCUCACACACAGACAUGAUGUAGGUUUGAUCAGAGGAUGUGAACCAGUGGUCAUCACACCUAAAUCUGACCACAAACCAUGUAAACAACAACACCCUCUUAAAGGAAGCCAUAGAUGGCGUUACUGCAGACACCACUAAGCUACUGAAACAUUGGAUGCUACAGGCCACAAAGAGAGCCUGUCUAAAUUACAGUUAGUUCAGACAAAGGUUAUUUUCUGGGUCAUUGUAAUUACAGCUGAUGGCAAAUCCAUCUCACCCAACUGAGUUAAAGCAAUUUGAAACCUGCCUAAACCGUGCACGUAAAAACAGCUGAUAUCUUUUCUAGGUCUUUGUUCUUAUUGUAGGACCUUCAGUCCUAACUUUACUGUCUUUGAGGCCUCACUCAGGGUUCUGAUGCAGACAUCUUCAUCGUCCACUUCUUGUCUCACGUGGACGUCUGAGGCUGAACAACGUUCACUGACCUCAUGCUUGCUCUUCAGUCGACUCCUACUUUGGGUCUUCCUGAUCUGACCCUACGCGACCUUUCACUCAAACAGUGGAUGAGAAAUCAGGUUGUACGACUUCUGUUCUUUUGUCCUCAUACUUUGAUUCUUUUGGAAUAGAUCACAUCUUUCUACAGCCCGAUGGCUUAGAUGCAACACCACCUUGCUCAACAUGCUGAAAAUUACUAUCAAGAGUCCGUCGUGAAGUCUGGCUCUUUGCUAAGACACUACUCUGCUCAGGCUGCAGAGUUGAUUGCGUUGACUGAAGCUAGUAAACUAGCAGAAGGAGAGUCUGUUACCAUCUACAGACUCCACAGAUGCUUGUCACACGUUGGUUCUCUGUGGAAGCAUAGGAAGCUUUUGAAGUCUGAUUGCAAACCUAUCUUACAUCAUGAUAAGGUUCUGCUUUGCUGGACGCUGUCCUGCUGCCUACAGCUAAUGCUGUUUGUAACUGUCCCACUCACAACAUCAUAGACAACUUUGUUUCUGCCGACAUGCAGCUGCAGACGCUGCUGCGAAGGUCGCUGCCCAACAACCCCUCCCUCUCCUGAUCCUUGUUUCCUCUCCUGAUCCUUGUUCCCUCUCUCCAACUCUCUCUAUCCUUUCCUUCCUCUCUCCCUGUGCUUUAAACAUUUUGUACCUCACAGGAACGCAGACUCUGGCAGACGAAUGGUUCCACCUGUAGCCAUGGAGUCUGGUUUGGGCCUGAUGGAAGCAGUGCUGCCCAAACACCCUUUCCCCAUAAUUCAGAUUUCCCAACAGGUGAAAGCAGGCGACAGGACCAUUACACACCAUCCAACCAGGGCACUGGGUGAUCGUUAAGGAGUUCAGGAGGAAGCACUGGGACUCCAAACGGUGGCGAGGCCACUUCCAGGUCCUUCUGACGACCCACACGGCUGUAAAGAUCGCAGAGAGAGCGACUUGGAUCCACUACACUGCAAGAAGGUCCCGGAUCCAACAGACGACCCUCCAUCUACAUCUACACCACACAAGAAAACCACCACUGAUGAAAAGAAUUGAGAAGAACGACCCUCGCUGUGCUCACACACGCACUGAGGCGAGGCUGCGUUGACCGUUCAGCUAAAGGUGUGAGCCAAGCGCCGCCUGAAGCUGCGCCGGUGAAUCACACUAUCAGACCAUACAUCUACACACACGUUCCUGAGAAAACACACACACGAGCAGCCUUGAGUUGCCGACGCUGGACGACGUGUAGACUCUUCACAUCACGGGAGUGACAGUGACUCAGACGACAUUGGGAGGAAACCUGGCGGUGAUAACAAAUCCCAAGUGUCUCUGUGAUCAGCUGAUCACAACCUGAAGAACCCCAACGAACUGUCAAUACUUCAACACACAGGUUGGAAACAAUCUAACGCUACUGUUCAACAGGAAGAAGCAGAUUGUUACGAGACAUCAAUUGUAAACAUGUUUUGUUAAACUUCAUUUUAUGUUACUUGGAUUAUUGCCUUUAGCAUAUGAUGUUUCUAUGUAACUUUACACACUACUUUUGAAUGAGAAAAUUCACAACAACAACAACACUGAGUUUAAAUAUCCUGAAGUUGAUUUGGUGUUUAAUUUGCUCACAAUCACUUUAUUCACUGCUACAAUUAGUUCUAUCCUUCAUCUACAGAUGAAAGACAACAGAAGCGGAAAUAUGCAUCAUCAUUCUGGUUAAAUCCCUGAAUCUCCUAUUCGCCCUAGACGCAAAUGUACAAUUAAAGAUCUGAAAGUAUGAAAUCUAUCUUAAGAAUAUAUGAAACAGAACCCCACCGGAAACCUAUGGCUAUCAUACAUUAAUUGUAUUUAUUACAUUACAAUUGAAUGGCCUUAGACACGUUGUUAGCAGAGAAAAGAGGCGUUUGUGUUAUGUUUGGAGAGGCAUAUUGUACUUACAUCCUGAAUAACACUGAUUCUAAUGGUAUUGUGGCGAAGGCGCUACACGGCCUUCAGAAUCUCAGCUAACUCUGGUAUAGAUUCUUCCUCUUGGAAUUGGCUAGACGAAAUGUCUGGAAAAUGGAAAUCUGUUCUCAUGUCCACAGCUGUUUCCUUUAUAAUUGAGAUGGCUGUGAUUCUCUUGUUUGGUUUUUACGUUAUCCCACUGGUUAGAGGUCUCAUCAUGCGUGCGACCUCAGCAACACUCUCGUAUGAGAUGACACAAUGCACUAUGUUCAAAAACCCCAACUCUAACUCACUUAAUGACUUUGACGAUGGUAUUGGCUUAUUUUCUUCACAUGCCAAUACAGAGGUUAUUCUUGUUUAACUACCCACCAAAAACAGCUCCCAACCUUUUGUCCCUUAGUUACUUCCAUUUUAUGUGAAGGUGUAUUUUGAAUCUUGAUGAGUUAAUACCCUUAUUGUUUCAUUUGCAAGGAUCUUUUAUUAUUACAGAAUGUGAUGUUGACAAUUUUUCUUCUUAGUGGUUGAUUAAUGUGUAAUCAAAAGGGGGGAGUGUUAUGGCAAAAAUUGUCUCUUCCUUAUUUCUAUGCAUUUCUAUGCAGUUAUUAUACGAGUUAUGACUUAUGUUCUGCAAUUAAUAUCUUAUGUUUUGUCUUACUGUAUGCAUUUGACAUUUCACCUACAUUGUUCAAUGGUUGUCUCUGCCUGAUAGACUCUCAACUCUAGCUCCCAAACCCAAGGUCGGGGAGUUGUGUCUCUGUCUGUUGAGACUUGGUGCUCCUUUCUCACAGAUAGUUGGACGUCAGCAAUGCAGGUGUGAGAAAGUAAAAAUCUUCACACACACUGCGACAGGGAGGAGAUGGUGCAUGUCAUUUGAUUGGUUUAGAAUGACAGUCCACCCUAGUCGGACAGAGAAGCUAAAAGGCAGAAGCAACUUUAGGAUCGUGGGCUCUUUGCAUCACACCUUCGUGGUGUGUGCACUGAUCUCCCCAGCUGGUUUUUGGUUUGUUGAUGUGCACGAUCAACAUCCAUGCUUUUUAUUUGCUUUCCCCAUUAUUUUUAUUUUCUUUAUUAUUUCAAUAAAUCGCACAAAAGGACAACUCUCUCAUCUGCCUCUUUAUGGGAAAUUUCCACCACAGAGACAUUAACAUAUUGUCACCACUCGGUCAAUAGGUGUGAAAUACUUUAGCUUCAGGACAAAGAAAAAGCUCCAUGGGAGAUUGGGCAGCAUAAUCAGCUGCACCUACGUAGGCUGUGGGACGCCAAAACCUUUCACUUCACCUUUUUUAAACGCUCUGGCAGACUACCACUGCUAACUUGUAGAGGAUAUUGUAUAAUAAAAUAAAUAAAUUGUAUUAAACUCUCUCUAUGGUAUGCAAGAA